UGCUUUUCAAGUAUUCAUACGAUAUCAAUUACUGUUAAGCAACAUUUCCAAAAGCACAAGCAGACAUGAGAAGCGGCCGAGGGCCCACUGCCUUCAAGGUCCGCUGUUGAGCUCUGGGAGGCGAGCACGCAAGCGUCAGGGCUCCGCGCCACCUGCUGGCCAGACGAGGUAGUGCGGCGCCCGCUGGGCGAACUCCUGGCGCUCCGCUCUUCAAAGUGAUCCACACCAGACCUGAAGUUAAGUCAGCCCUGCUAAGAAAAGACCGAAUUAUCUUUCUCUACAUAGAGAAUUAAAGGGUGAAACUGUUACCACAUGGGGACCAAGGGUAUGAAGCUGUAAUGUACUGGAAGGAAGAAAAAGCAGCUCGGAGCUGCCUCAGGAAGUCGCUCUCAACAGUCACGGAACCGCCGCUGUUGUUACUGUUAUAGAGCGCUCAAUCGUAUGAGCCUCCGCCUCACAACGUCUAGAUGUCCUUUGGGCACACUCCAGGCUGAUCGGCAAAGACACAGAACAAGCUGGGAGACCCAGCUGCCAGAACGGCUCCUUCACUCACUGGCUUCGCAGCUGGGCGCCCACAGGAGUUUCUCUCCAGCCCCGGCAUGCACUCUUACGCAGGCUCCCUUUACCUGUGUGUGCACUUGAGCUGUCUGGUGGCCACGCAGAAAACUGACCGAGGCUCCCUGAACAACAGAAGCUAAAGCUUGAGAGUGUUGCCUUCCACUUCCUUAUGAAGCACCUGGGGUCCUCAAGUCAGUCUGCCCCAAAGUAGAAACACGCCAGGAACACUAGCAAGUGAGGACAAGUAGAAAGAACUGGGUCCUCCAGUGCAGACAAGGUGACUGGAAAGGAAGGACAGAAUUGCUUAGAGCAAUUUGGGGAGGCUCAUGCCUGUGCAAGGGUUUGCAAGACUUGACUGAAAUUGACAAAGAGCAAGACACAAGGUGCAGAUGAAAGGAUCUGUCUUGGAGAGCGAGGCCAAGGAAUCCAUGAGGGCCGGCUGGAGGAAUGCAAGCUGCUGAUGGCUGGUUUGAUAGCUUCCCAGUGCUCUGAACACUGCUGCUACGGAGCCUAAGCCACGGUGACCACCACUCCCCACUGAAGAGCCGACCAAGCAUGUUCCUCAGAGUCUGCAUGCCUGCAGGACCAGGGUCCUUGUGAAGUGUGCUCUGGAAUCCCACCCUGGCCCAUGGGACCUCCCAGAAAUCUAUUAAUGGUCACAUACUUUGUGUCAUUUAUUUCUCAAAGAUGUCUUGAAGUAGGCAUCACAGCCUCUUCUUACGGAAGAGGAAACAGAGGAUCAGGGAUAUCUGUAACAAUAGAACAUUACUUAAAACAUUAUCCAGCUGCACAACUUUGGAGAUGGUGCUACCAUUCUUUGGGCUGUGUGGUUGUGGGCAUAAUACAUAACCUCUCUAUGCCUCAGUUUCUACAUUGGCAAAAUGGAACUUUUCAUACUAUCCAAUCCAAACAUUGUCUUAACACAUAACCACACUUAGAAGAGUGACUGACACAAUAAAUUCUCUGUAAAUGUCAGCUAUUUUAUUGUUACCAUCUUAUAGAACCUUCUCAAAGUCCUGAGCCAUCAAGGGGCUAGGAAAGAUCCUGCCACCAAUCCCCGGACAUGGUCUCAAACCUCAGCUCCCACCCACACCUGGGCAGCUGAGGGUAAUGUCACAGGAGGGAGCCCAGUGCAAGAAGGGAAAAGCAUUCCUCCUACCUCCCGACGGCGCCAGAACCACUGAAGAUGAAAUCUAGCUGCUAGUUUACUGAAAAGUACAUGAUGGUUCUAGAAAUUUUUUCCAACACAGAAAAAUGUAAAGAAAAAGUGCAGAAUUCGGCUACCAGGGAGCUUUUGCUAACAGGUUCUAUACUACUCUUUCCUAAUGAGGAGCUUUACUGGCCUGGCCCAGGAGAGGACGCUGUCUGAGAAUCAAAGCCCUCUCCUCUGCCUGUGUGUGGGGGGGGGGGACGAGAUUUCAAUUCAGUCUCCAGGGGAGGGGUACAGAGAGCUCUCAAAAGUAUGCCAAGAUGUAGGCACAAAAUACAGACACUCUUGGGGGGUCCACCAGUAAGGGGCACAUGCCAUGCAUUGUGCUGCAUCCAUUCAGUGGUGUUCCAGUAGAUGUUCGUAAGGAGGCCCCAAUAUGGAAAGAGUUCAAAAAUACAUUGCUAUGUUACAUAAGAGAAAAUCCCCAACAAGAUACUGGCAAACAGAAUGCAAUGAAUCAUCAAAAAGAUCAUAUGGGCUGGGG
Molecule: non-coding RNA, 2252 nt
Organism: Heterocephalus glaber (naked mole-rat)
Lineage: Eukaryota; Metazoa; Chordata; Mammalia; Rodentia; Bathyergidae
Source: RefSeq, a predicted model, not a curated record